UUGUUUAGGAUUUGAUUUAGGAUUUAGGAUUUGAUUAGGGUUUAGUUUAGGAUUUAAGAUUUGAUUUAGGGUUUAGUUAGGAUUUUAUUUAGGGUUUGGAUUAGGAUUUGGUUUAGGAUUUAGGAUUUGGAUUAGGAUUUGGUUAGGAUUUGAUUUAGGAUUUGGUUAGGAUUUGAUUUAGGAUUUGGUUAGGAUUUGAUUUAGGAUUUGGUUAGGAUUUGGUUUAGAAUUUUGUUGGAAUUUGAUUUAAGAUUUGUUUAGGAUUUGAUUUAGGGUUUGAUUUAGGAUUUGGAUUAGAGUUUUAUUUAGGAUUUGGAUUAGGGUUUGAUUUAGGAUGUAGGAUUUGGAUUAGGAUUUGAUUAGGAUUUGGUUUAGGGUUUGGUUAGGAUUUGGUUUAGGAUUUGAUUGGUGUUUGGUUUAAGGUUUGUUUAGGGUUUGAUUUAGGAUUUAGGAUUUUAUUAGGAUUUAAGAUUCAAUUAGUUUUGGCCUAAAGUUUGAAUGAAGUUCAAUAGGAUUUUAACUAGAAUUAAAUUAAGAUUGAAUUGAGAUGUAUUUGAGUGAUAUUUGUGAUCCUUCUAAUAUUUCCUUAAGAAUUCUUAUUAUUUGUUUGAAAUUUCUUU
This 620-nucleotide long non-coding RNA is filed under the name Physcomitrium patens. Its description in RNAcentral is "long non-coding RNA (PPAT_LNC013942)". The record is from RNAcentral. Lineage: Eukaryota; Viridiplantae; Streptophyta; Bryopsida; Funariales; Funariaceae.